RNAcentral lists this ribosomal RNA (478 nucleotides) under uncultured bacterium. Its description in RNAcentral is "partial 16S ribosomal RNA". It matches the Rfam family "Bacterial small subunit ribosomal RNA", at positions 28 to 523 of the family's 1533-position model. The record is from RNAcentral.
GACGAACGCUGGCGGCGUGCUUAACACAUGCAAGUCGAGCGAUGAAGCUCCUUCGGGAGUGGAUUAGCGGCGGACGGGUGAGUAACACGUGGGUAACCUGCCUCAUAGAGGGGAAUAGCCUUCCGAAAGGAAGAUUAAUACCGCAUAAGAUUGUAGUACCGCAUGGUAUAGCAAUUAAAGGAGUAAUCCGCUAUGAGAUGGACCCGCGUCGCAUUAGCUAGUUGGUGAGGUAACGGCUCACCAAGGCGACGAGGCGUAGCCGACCUGGGAGGGUGAUCGGCCACAUUGGGACUGAGACACGGCCCAGACUCCUACGGGAGGCAGCGGUGGGGAAUAUUGCACAAUGGGGGAAACCCUGAUGCAGCAACGCCGCGUGAGUGAUGACGGUCUUCGGAUUGUAAAGCUCUGUCUUCAGGGACGAUAAUGACGGUACCUGAGGAGGAAGCCACGGCUAACUACGUGCCAGCCGCCGCGGUAA